AAGUCGUAACAAGGUUUCCGUAGGUGAACCUGCGGAAGGAUCAUUACAACGUCCAAACGACAAACCAAUCGUGAACUUAGUACCCUUUGGACUAAAGGCAGACUGGAUGUAAACCCUUGUGAUGAAGGCGUCUCGGCGUCUUGGGUUGAUCCGAUCGCAGCAUUUCGGUGCUGACUUUGGCUUCCGAAGCGGUUUAUCUACAUCACUUCUAACAUUACUAAACCCUUUAACACUUUUGAACUGACUUGUUGUUAAUGCGGUGCUCCUCGCGAGUACUACUUAACAAUUGAUUACGUAAAUUACGAACAACUCUUAACAACGGAUAUCUUGGUUCUC
This 336-nucleotide unclassified non-coding RNA is filed under the name fungal sp. RNAcentral describes it as "partial internal transcribed spacer region". The stretch from base 1 to 46 matches the Rfam family "Eukaryotic small subunit ribosomal RNA", at positions 1786 to 1831 of the family's 1831-position model. Lineage: Eukaryota; Fungi. The record is from RNAcentral.